GGAAGUAAAGGCCGUAACAAGGUUUCCGUAGGUGAACCUGCGGAAGGAUCAUUAUUGUAUAACCGAGGUGCGAGGGCUGUCGCUGACCCGAAAGGUCGUGCACGCCCGAGUGCCCUCACACACAUCCAUCUCACCCCUAUGUGCACCACCGCGUGGGUCCCCCUUUGGCUUGUUCGGAGGGGGGCUUACGUUUUCACACAAACUUUGUAUGCAGUGUAGAAUGUAUUUUUUGUUUUUGCGAUCACGCAAUCAAUAUAACUUUCAACAACGGAUCUCUUGGCUCUC
This 285-nucleotide unclassified non-coding RNA is filed under the name plant metagenome. RNAcentral's name for it is "partial contains small subunit ribosomal RNA, internal transcribed spacer 1, and 5.8S ribosomal RNA". The stretch from base 1 to 54 matches the Rfam family "Eukaryotic small subunit ribosomal RNA", at positions 1778 to 1831 of the family's 1831-position model. The record is from RNAcentral.